RNAcentral lists this ribosomal RNA (485 nucleotides) under uncultured bacterium. Its description in RNAcentral is "bacterial SSU rRNA". It matches the Rfam family "Bacterial small subunit ribosomal RNA", at positions 28 to 507 of the family's 1533-position model. The record is from RNAcentral.
GACGAACGCUGGCGGCGUGCUUAACACAUGCAAGUCGAACGGAGAUCUAGAGGAAGCUUGCGAAUCUAGAUCUUAGUGGCGGACGGGUGAGUAACGCGUGGGUAACCAACCCAUAACACUGGGACAACCCUGGGAAACUGGGGCUAAUACCGGAUAACUUCUUAGGAAGGCAUCUUCUAAAGAAGAAAGGCGGCCUCUUGAAAAAGCUGCUGGUUAUGGACGGGCCCGCGUCUGAUUAGCUAGUUGGUAGGGUAACGGCCUACCAAGGCGACGAUCAGUAGCCGGCCUGAGAGGGUGGCCGGCCACACUGGGACUGAGACACGGCCCAGACUCCUACGGGGGGCAGCAGUAGGGAAUUUUCGGCAAUGGGCGAAAGCCUGACCGAGCGACGCCGCGUGAGGGACGAAGGCCUUCGGGUUGUAAACCUCUGUCUGGGGGGAUGGAGAACGGACGGUACCCCGGAGGAAGCCCCGGCUAACUACGUG